GGUAAGAUGGCCGAGGGGUAGGCGGUAGGUUGUAGCCCUAAUUACAGAGGUUUAAGUCCUCUUCUUACUA
Molecule: transfer RNA, 70 nt
Filed under: Pseudis tocantins
Lineage: Eukaryota; Metazoa; Chordata; Amphibia; Anura; Hylidae
Description: tRNA-Tyr
Rfam family: tRNA
About the family: Transfer RNA (tRNA) molecules are approximately 80 nucleotides in length.
Source: RNAcentral